Long non-coding RNA from Daphnia magna, 2402 nucleotides. RefSeq lists it as uncharacterized. Lineage: Eukaryota; Metazoa; Arthropoda; Branchiopoda; Diplostraca; Daphniidae. The transcript is spliced from 2 exons. The record is from RefSeq and is a predicted model, not a curated record.
GUCUGUGUGUACGUGUGUGAAGGUUUUUUUUUCAUUCAUGAAAAUCCUGGAAAAACCAAAAACACCGAACAACGGAGGAUUGCGAUUCAAAAGAGAGAGGAAAAAAAAGAAGAGUGUCCUGCGCUUUGUUUACACAAUGCGAGUCGCCGGAUGCGUUUACCUGUUCCCACGCAUUUACGAGAUGAAUAAAUGACUGGUCUAUUUAUUCACGUUCGCCCACAUUGCACAACUUCAACAUACAAAUGAAUUCCAUUUAAAUAAUUGAAUAAGAAAAUUUCUUUUUUUUUUUGUUGGUAAUUUGUAAAGUGAAAAGUUAUUCAAAAUGAAUCGAGAGAAAAAAAAAACUGAUAGCGCUGGCCAUGAGCAGAGAAAUAAAAAUUGCACAAUUAACCACAUCCCAAUCUCCGGUAAGGGCCUAUUUUUUGAAAAAAUACAAACAGACUUGUUUUGGACUUUCUGCUCUCGUCCGUUCUUCACUCUCUCAAUAGACCAAGGCGCCCGGUUGUCGUGGUUACUGUCUGGCUCUUCAACAAAUAUUGAUAUUGUCUCCUUGUGUACAUGUACAGAUAUUCAUUUGGAAAUCCCUUGUUCGGACUCGAACGCAGUUUACCUCUUUAUUUGAUUAGCACGACGCUCAUUGAAAGUGUCCUGGAUUUUUAUAAACGAAAAUGUGUGUAUGAAAAAUUGGGUGUGCGGGACGACGUAAAAGAGACUUUGUGUGUGUGUGUCUGUGGUUUCCUUGUUUUCAGUUGGUCGUGUGUGUUGUUUCGCUGGGUGGAGAAAAGAAAAAUUUCAAUUGCGUCACGUCCUUUAGCGCAAUCGCGGGAAUACCAGGAAAACAGAAACAAAAACAAACAAGACUUGAAUUUUUUUUUUUCCUAUCGUUUCUUUUUUGAUUAGAAUAUAUUUGAAAAAUGUGUGCAGCAAAGACACGCGUAUUGGAGAACAGCAUCUGUUUCUCACUUAGCCAGAAGGCUGUUCGAUGAUGACGGAGCUCUGUCACGCCGGCUGCUGUCUUUUUUUUGAACGCGGAACAUGAACGGACCAGCAGCGAGGGUAAUGACAAGGCCACAUCCUUGGUGAUAACUCGUUUCCCUCUUUCACUCCCUUGAUUGUCUUCCUUUGUGUUUUUCCCAGAUUUCAUUCAUUAUGUACCGAAUGAUAAGCUCAGCGAUUCUUUCAUUUUCGGAAAUGUUUUUUUUUUUGUUGGUUUCGCAAUUGUUUCGGGAAAAAAUGAAAGAUUAAUCACGAAGACGCCAGCGAUAUGAAACCAGUAUUCCUUAUUUAAUUAUUUCGAAAACAAAACAAAAUUUCUAGGCAGAGAAAGAAAAUUCCUGGAGAUGGUGAAGAGUUGGGAACCAACGAGUGCUGUGAGUUUGGCGAUUUCAACUUCCACAUGCAAAUUGAGAAAAGAGAUGUAGAGGAAAGAGAGAGAGAGAGAAAAAGUCUAUACCUUUUGAGGAGGCGUGGUCAGCAGGUGCUGACCGACAGCCUUGGAAACGUUCCGUGACGUCACUGCUCCUUCUGUCGGUUUUUUUUUUACGAGAAAUAAAUUUCAAAAAAAAAAAAGCGACAGCUGUUUUCAUUUAUUUAGUCUUCGCCCAGUCUGUACAGAAUUUUCUUAAAACCACACCGCCAUUUUUAUUGGUUUUAAUCGCUUUCCGUGAAAGAGAUGUCUAUUUUUUUCCAAACGCAAUUAUAUACCUAUCUAUACAUCUAUUGUAAGACAACAAUGCUCGAAAAGCCAAAAUAAUGCCGCGUGCGUGCUGUGUUUAACGCCUGUAACGAACUCGCAAGGGGAAGACGAUCCCUUUCCACCAACAAUAGGCGAGAAAAUGAGGACAACUAAAACGAAUUUUUUUUUGUUGUUUUCCUUUGGUCUCUUUCUCUCUCUUUACAUAACGAUAUAAAUAGCGAAAUGGCUUCUUAUUUUAUUUUUUCCCGUUUGUUUUUGUACAAAUUCUUUACGACGUGUCCGUUUUUAUUUUCGUCGGCCACCUGUUUGAGAUAUUUUCUCUUUCUGAUUUUAAAUUUUUCAAUCGACGUGUAUUAAUUUAUUUUUACCAUUUUCUUCUGACGAAGAGCCGCCUUUGUUUACAGGCUCUCUGACUUGCAGGUGAACUGUCUGGAGUGCGUCAACAGCUCCGCAUACGCCGGUGUUUUCUCUUUCUGGUUGGGAUAGUCUACGCAUCAAAUAAAAAGCUUGCUCAAUCUUAUUCAUUUGCUAUAUGCACAAUGUGUGCGCUGGCUCUUUUUUCAAGUCAAACAAACGGAUUUUUUUCUUUUUCUCUCUAAAAAUAGAUUUCUCUUCGUUUUUAUUCUUUAAAAAAACAACAUGCAUAAGUUAUGAAUGAGAUGCGACAAAAACAAACAAUUAAAAAAUAUAUUUAAAAAGAAAUGGU